CCUGAGAAACCCAAAAGAUCGAAUGGGGAGAUUCAUCGUCAGCGAUUCUGGUACGUGUGCGGUUCGCGAUGCCGGAGACUUCGGUCUCAUUGCACGCGUCCGCAUGUUUUUUAUUGCCGGGAUCGUCGGCGUGCACUUCUCCCCUAGUAGGACGUCGCGACCCGUUGGGUGUCGGUCUACGGCCCGGGUGGUAGCCUGUCACGUGUGCGCUUCACGGUGUUACGCGGGGCAGACCCCCGGUUGCCUGACCGGCUGCCCGGCGGUACUCGCACGGUAUCUGGCCGCAAAUAUUCGAACUGCGUCCGGCCCGUCGCAAGCGAGGCAAGUGUUUCCCGGCUGUACGGAUCUAAUGCCGUCACCGGGCCUUGCCAGCUGUUGGUUGACGGUGUCCUAGGACUGGCUAAUAAAAUUAUGAUACCGGUCGGCGACGCUACUGCUUUGGGUACUUUCAGGA
Molecule: ribosomal RNA, 454 nt
Filed under: Alomya debellator
Lineage: Eukaryota; Metazoa; Arthropoda; Insecta; Hymenoptera; Ichneumonidae
Description: partial 28S ribosomal RNA
Source: RNAcentral